UACGUAGGGGGCGAGCGUUGUCCAGAAUUACUGGGCGUAAAGAGAGCGUAGGCGGCACUACAAGUCUCAUGUGAAAUACCCGGGCUUAACUUGGGGGUUGCAUGGGAAACUGUAGAGCUUGAGUACAGGAGAGGCAAGCGGAAUUCCUAGUGUAGCGGUGAAAUGCAUAGAUAUUAGGAGGAACACCAGUGGCGAAGGCGGCUUGCUGGACUGAAACUGACGUUGAGGCUCGAAAGCGUGGGGAGCAAACAGG
This 253-nucleotide ribosomal RNA is filed under the name uncultured bacterium. RNAcentral's name for it is "partial 16S ribosomal RNA". It matches the Rfam family "Bacterial small subunit ribosomal RNA", at positions 524 to 776 of the family's 1533-position model. The record is from RNAcentral.